AGGCGAGUAGCUCAAUUGGUAGAGUACCGGUCUCCAAAACCGGGGGUUGUGGGUUCGAGACCCCCCUCGCCUGCCA
This 76-nucleotide transfer RNA is filed under the name Deefgea chitinilytica. RNAcentral's name for it is "tRNA-Trp". It matches the Rfam family "tRNA". From Rfam's summary of the family: Transfer RNA (tRNA) molecules are approximately 80 nucleotides in length. Their secondary structure includes four short double-helical elements and three loops (D, anti-codon, and T loops). Lineage: Bacteria; Pseudomonadati; Pseudomonadota; Betaproteobacteria; Neisseriales; Chitinibacteraceae. RNAcentral also lists the same sequence under 5 other names. The record is from RNAcentral.